RNAcentral lists this transfer RNA (68 nucleotides) under Camelus bactrianus (Bactrian camel). It matches the Rfam family "tRNA". Rfam says of the family: Transfer RNA (tRNA) molecules are approximately 80 nucleotides in length. The record is from Rfam by way of RNAcentral. RNAcentral also lists the same sequence under 2 other names. Lineage: Eukaryota; Metazoa; Chordata; Mammalia; Artiodactyla; Camelidae.
GGUAAUAGCUCAAGUGGUAGAGCGCACGCUUAGCACGCAUGAGGUCCUGGAUUCAAUCCCCAGUACCU